GAUGGUAACAGAAUAAAGUGAAAAUGAGGGUUAGAUUUUUUGGAGUCCCAUUUUCGAACCCUAGCGACCGUCACUCACUCUCCGAUCUCCAUCUCCACUCUCCCCUCUCGGUUGCUUUCGCUGACCUUCAUCUCUGCGAGACUGCGACUGCGACUGCCUCUCACUCAGAAGUGUCUUCAUCCAUCUUCAGCGAUUGCGACUGCAACCUUCAUCUUCGCGAGACCUUGACUGUGACGAGCAAAGCGUGCGACUGAGACGAGUAGUGCUUUGCUCUGUAAGACUGUGACUUCCACCUCCAUUUCUCUUUCUUAACAACUUUGACCUGCUUCUCUGCUUCCCACACUUGUAAAUAGUAGCCUGGAGGAUGGUUCAACUUCAGAGAACAUGUAGCAUUGCUCUAAGUGAAUGUGGCCACAAGAUUGCCACAUCAAUUAAUUUGCAUCCUUAUAGUUGAAUAUUGAAUAUUAGCUUUAUAUUUCUUCCUAGUUUGUAAGCCUGUAAGCUUUCCUUGUAAUCUUUGCAUAACAACUGAAGACACUUGAGCUUUUAUAAAUCCGGUGCUUCCAAAGA
Prosopis cineraria is the source of this 570-nucleotide long non-coding RNA. RefSeq lists it as uncharacterized. The transcript has 2 exons. Lineage: Eukaryota; Viridiplantae; Streptophyta; Magnoliopsida; Fabales; Fabaceae. The record is from RefSeq and is a predicted model, not a curated record.